GGCUCAGUGGUCUAGUGGUAUGAUACUCCCUUUGGGUGCUAGAGGCCACGGGUUCAGAUUCCCGUCUGAGCCC
Molecule: non-coding RNA, 73 nt
Organism: Nematostella vectensis (starlet sea anemone)
Lineage: Eukaryota; Metazoa; Cnidaria; Anthozoa; Actiniaria; Edwardsiidae
Source: Rfam